UGUUGAUGGUGACGAUGAUGAUGAUGUUGUUCAUGUUGCUGCUGGUGGAGGAGAAAUAGUCAUUGGUUGAGGAGAGAUAGUUGUGUGAAGACAACAUGAACAACUGCAACAUCAGCAUCACCA
This 123-nucleotide microRNA precursor is filed under the name Prunus dulcis (almond). RNAcentral describes it as "sRNA ncRNA". The record is from RNAcentral. Lineage: Eukaryota; Viridiplantae; Streptophyta; Magnoliopsida; Rosales; Rosaceae.